RNAcentral lists this ribosomal RNA (434 nucleotides) under uncultured Clostridium sp. RNAcentral's name for it is "partial 16S ribosomal RNA". It matches the Rfam family "Bacterial small subunit ribosomal RNA", at positions 341 to 792 of the family's 1533-position model. The record is from RNAcentral. Lineage: Bacteria; Bacillati; Bacillota; Clostridia; Eubacteriales; Clostridiaceae.
ACGGGAGGCAGCAGUGGGGAAUAUUGCACAAUGGGGGAAACCCUGAUGCAGCGACGCCGCGUGAGUGAAGAAGUUAUUCGUAAUGUAAAGCUCUAUCAGCAGGGUAGAAAAUGACGGUACCUGACUAAGAAGCCCCGGCUAACUACGUGCCAGCAGCCGCGGUAAUACGUAGGGGGCAAGCGUUAUCCGGAUUUACUGGGUGUAAAGGGAGCGUAGACGGCUUAGCAAGUCUGAUGUGAAAGGCAGGGGCUCAACUCCUGGACUGCAUUGGAAACUGUUAAGCUAGAGUGCCGGAGAGGUAAGCGGAAUUCCUAGUGUAGCGGUGAAAUGCGUAGAUAUUAGGAGGAACACCAGUGGCGAAGGCGGCUUGCUGGACUGUUACUGACACUGAGGCACGAAAGCGUGGGGAGCAAACAGGAUUAGAUACCCUGGUA